This 400-nucleotide ribosomal RNA is filed under the name uncultured Enterococcus sp. RNAcentral's name for it is "bacterial SSU rRNA". It matches the Rfam family "Bacterial small subunit ribosomal RNA", at positions 1019 to 1420 of the family's 1533-position model. The record is from RNAcentral. Lineage: Bacteria; Bacillati; Bacillota; Bacilli; Lactobacillales; Enterococcaceae.
CUUCGGGGCAAAGUGACAGGUGGUGCAUGGUUGUCGUCAGCUCGUGUCGUGAGAUGUUGGGUUAAGUCCCGCAACGAGCGCAACCCUUAUUGUUAGUUGCCAUCAUUUAGUUGGGCACUCUAGCGAGACUGCCGGUGACAAACCGGAGGAAGGUGGGGAUGACGUCAAAUCAUCAUGCCCCUUAUGACCUGGGCUACACACGUGCUACAAUGGGAAGUACAACGAGUCGCGAAGUCGCGAGGCUAAGCUAAUCUCUUAAAGCUUCUCUCAGUUCGGAUUGUAGGCUGCAACUCGCCUACAUGAAGCCGGAAUCGCUAGUAAUCGCGGAUCAGCACGCCGCGGUGAAUACGUUCCCGGGCCUUGUACACACCGCCCGUCACACCACGAGAGUUUGUAACAC